UGAGGAAUAUUGGUCAAUGGACGAGAGUCUGAACCAGCCAAGUAGCGUGAAGGAAGACUGCCCUAUGGGUUGUAAACUUCUUUUAUAAGGGAAUAAAGUGCAUCACGUGUGGUGUUUUGUAUGUACCUUAUGAAUAAGGAUCGGCUAACUCCGUGCCAGCAGCCGCGGUAAUACGGAGGAUCCGAGCGUUAUCCGGAUUUAUUGGGUUUAAAGGGAGCGUAGGCGGCAGGUUAAGUCAGUUGUGAAAGUUUGCGGCUCAACCGUAAAAUUGCAGUUGAUACUGGCCUGCUUGAGUGCGGCAGAGGCAGGCGGAAUUUGUGGUGUAGCGGUGAAAUGCUUAGAUAUCACGAAGAACUCCGAUUGCGAAGGCAGCUUGCUGGAGCGUAACUGACGCUGAUGCUCGAAAGUGCGGGUAUCAAACAGG
This 424-nucleotide ribosomal RNA is filed under the name uncultured Bacteroides sp. Its description in RNAcentral is "bacterial SSU rRNA". It matches the Rfam family "Bacterial small subunit ribosomal RNA", at positions 355 to 776 of the family's 1533-position model. The record is from RNAcentral. Lineage: Bacteria; Pseudomonadati; Bacteroidota; Bacteroidia; Bacteroidales; Bacteroidaceae.